This 448-nucleotide ribosomal RNA is filed under the name uncultured bacterium. RNAcentral describes it as "bacterial SSU rRNA". It matches the Rfam family "Bacterial small subunit ribosomal RNA", at positions 471 to 919 of the family's 1533-position model. The record is from RNAcentral.
GAGAGUACCUGAAGAAUAAGCACCGGCUAACUACGUGCCAGCAGCCGCGGUAAUACGUAGGGUGCAAGCGUUAAUCGGAAUUACUGGGCGUAAAGCGUGCGCAGGCGGACUUUUAAGCCAGAUGUGAAAGCCCCGAGCUUAACUUGGGAAUUGCGUUUGGAACUGGGAGUCUAGAGUCUGUCAGAGGGGGAUGGAAUUCCACGUGUAGCAGUGAAAUGCGUAGAGAUGUGGAGGAACAUCGAUGGCGAAGGCAGUCCCCUGGGAUAAGACUGACGCUCAUGCACGAAAGCGUGGGGAGCAAACAGGAUUAGAUACCCUGGUAGUCCACGCCCUAAACGAUGUCUACUAGUUGUUGGGGUAGCAAUACCUCAGUGACGCAGCUAACGCGUGAAGUAGACCGCCUGGGGAGUACGGUCGCAAGAUUAAAACUCAAAGGAAUUGACGGGGG